Molecule: long non-coding RNA, 1223 nt
Organism: Sycon ciliatum
Lineage: Eukaryota; Metazoa; Porifera; Calcarea; Leucosolenida; Sycettidae
Exons: 3
Source: RefSeq, a predicted model, not a curated record
GUAAUAGUUUAGUGUAUUUUCGGUUUAGUCGGAUACGACUGUACAUAGUUAGUAACUUAGUUAGUUCAACGGUUAGAGAUGUAGGUUUGUGAUGCUGCUGAAAUGGACUGGCCGGUGUGUGAGUGAUUGAAGCACCAUCGGAAUCCAGACUGAAGAACUGCAGCUGCCUCGCUGGGACCAACGAUAGAGAUCAUGGCUAGCAGUAGGCGAGCUGAAGCUCAUCAGCAGCACAAGUCAAGAAGUCCCUUUGAUACUAAUUCACUGGAACGAUGGCUGAACCCCAGGAUCAAGUUGGUGGUUGCACUCAUAUUUCUUGCACUCCUGAUGGGUGUUAUUAUGGCAAUUCUCGGUCUGACUGGUUACGUCAGCCCUACGUAUAUAUGGAUAGGUAUUCUGCUGACGAUCUUCUCUCCGUUCCUGGUGCCGUUUGCCCUCAUCUUGGUCCACUGGCUGCUUUCGGGGUUUCUGCCACGCGGGCCCACCAUGACUCUUAUAGAGAAGGAUAUGCACUACUAGUAGUGUAGUAUGCUGCCAAUGUGGUUCCAACACAGCACACCUCUCUAGCCCAGUUGUGCUGGGGCAACACUUACAAAGGACUAUCGGAUGUAGUAGUUCGUCCUUACCCAAGAGACUUACAAUACGGCUUCCUCUCUCUCUCACUUGUGUGGAAGGCUCUGCCGUAUAUGGCUGCUGAGCGCUCUUUGAGCAGUGGGACACGCUACUUGAGUACGUACUAUCAACCUUAGAUUGUUUCCCAGCAAGAGCAAACUGUAAUUUCCCCAGUCACGGUAUAGAGUCAGUGUCCUACGAACACUGCGAUAUUAGUUUGCUUGCCCGCGACUCGCGCACAGUAGCGUGUACUGAAUGCAUUGAUAUCCGAUGUGAUAUUCUUGAUGAUGUUGAAUUUGCAACACACGAGUUGCAGACUAUCACCAAACCAUACUAGUGGUGUAUUGUAUAUGAAAAUUAAAUUAUGCAUAAUAACCAUGAAUGUGUGAUUAUUCAGAGCAUUGGCUGUGGCCAUACUUGACAAACUGAUACAAUUCGAUGAGAUCUGAUUCUAGUGUGUUCUAGUAAAUUUACUAUGAAAGCUCUUGCAGCGAACCAACACCUAUUUACUAGGAGAUAUUGCCACGGCAUACUGGCUUCACUGAUUGAGUCGUUAUCAUGAUUUUGGCACACGACUGCCGGCUAGAUGAAUGUUACUGUGAGGUGAUAAAUAA